RNAcentral lists this ribosomal RNA (66 nucleotides) under Amanita oberwinkleriana. RNAcentral's name for it is "partial 28S ribosomal RNA". The stretch from base 9 to 66 matches the Rfam family "Eukaryotic large subunit ribosomal RNA", at positions 1 to 58 of the family's 3401-position model. The record is from RNAcentral. Lineage: Eukaryota; Fungi; Basidiomycota; Agaricomycetes; Agaricales; Amanitaceae.
GACAAAGUCGACCUCAAAUCAGGUAGGAUUACCCGCUGAACUUAAGCAUAUCAAUAAGCGGAGGAA